RNAcentral lists this ribosomal RNA (426 nucleotides) under uncultured bacterium. RNAcentral's name for it is "bacterial SSU rRNA". It matches the Rfam family "Bacterial small subunit ribosomal RNA", at positions 355 to 773 of the family's 1533-position model. The record is from RNAcentral.
UGGGGAAUUUUGGACAAUGGGGGAAACCCUGAUCCAGCCAUGCCGCGUGAGUGAAGAAGGCCUUCGGGUUGUAAAGCUCUUUUGGCCGGGAAGAAAGGGUUCGGGCGAAUAACCUGGAUCUUUGACGGUACCGGCAGAAUAAGCACCGGCUAACUACGUGCCAGCAGCCGCGGUAAUACGUAGGGUGCGAGCGUUAAUCGGAAUUACUGGGCGUAAAGCGUGCGUAGGCGGUUCGUUAUGUCUGCUGUGAAAGCCCCGGGCUUAACCUGGGAAUGGCAGUGGAAACUGGCGGGCUUGAGUGUGGCAGAGGGGGGUGGAAUUCCGCGUCUAGCAGUGAAAUGCGUAGAGAUGCGGAGGAACACCGAUGGCGAAGGCAGCCCCCUGGGCUAACACUGACGCUGAGGCACGAAAGCGUGGGGAGCAAAC